AAACCAACAGGGAUUGCCUUAGUAGCGGCGAGUGAAGCGGCAAGAGCUCAAAUUUGAAAUCUGGUACCUUCGGUGCCCGAGUUGUAAUUUGAAGAAAGCUAUCUUGGAUUUGGCCUUUGUCUAUGUUCCUUGGAACAGGACGUCACAGAGGGUGAGAAUCCCGUCUGAUGGGGUGUCCAUUUCUAUGUAAGAUGUUUUCGAA
Molecule: ribosomal RNA, 202 nt
Filed under: uncultured Ascomycota
Lineage: Eukaryota; Fungi; Ascomycota
Description: partial 26S ribosomal RNA
Rfam family: Eukaryotic large subunit ribosomal RNA
Source: RNAcentral